GCAGAGUAGAUAUGUGUGCGUUAAGUGCCGGAUGGACGGGGAGUUGCCAGCCGGACGAAAAGAUGUUCUUGCGGUACACAUGUCGCAUCCCGCUGC
Molecule: non-coding RNA, 96 nt
Filed under: chicken gut metagenome
Description: THF riboswitch
Rfam family: THF (Tetrahydrofolate) riboswitch aptamer
About the family: THF riboswitch presents a pseudoknot that joins P1-P2 and the loop of P3 and two THF binding.
Source: RNAcentral